AUGAAUUGUUUGAGCUAGAACUGUCGGGGGCUUGGGAACCUAUCGACAGUUCGUGAGCUUCGCAAGAUUGUGAAGCAGGAAGGACCCUCCCUUCUGUUUAUCAUGGAAACAAAGAUAAAAGGGACCAAAGUUGAGAGUCUGAAGAACCUCCUUGGUUUUUCGGGGUGUUUUGUUGUUGAUAGCAACGGCCUUAGUGGUGGCAUCGGUUUGUUCUGGACAGAUAAUGUGACUGUUGAAUUGAAGAACUACAGC
Molecule: ribosomal RNA, 252 nt
Filed under: Triticum aestivum (bread wheat)
Lineage: Eukaryota; Viridiplantae; Streptophyta; Magnoliopsida; Poales; Poaceae
Description: partial small subunit ribosomal RNA
Source: RNAcentral